RNAcentral lists this ribosomal RNA (253 nucleotides) under uncultured bacterium. RNAcentral describes it as "partial 16S ribosomal RNA". It matches the Rfam family "Bacterial small subunit ribosomal RNA", at positions 524 to 776 of the family's 1533-position model. The record is from RNAcentral.
UACGAAGGGGGCUAGCGUGGUUCGGAUUUACUGGGCGUAAAGCGCACGUAGGCGGGUCGUUAAGUCAGGGGUGAAAUCCCGGAGCUCAACUCCGGAACUGCCUUUGAUACUGGCGACCUUGAGGCUGGAAGAGGUUAGUGGAAUUCCCAGUGUAGAGGUGAAAUUCGUAGAUAUUGGGAAGAACACCAGUGGCGAAGGCGGCUAACUGGUCCAGAUCUGACGCUGAGGUGCGAAAGCGUGGGGAGCAAACAGG